Molecule: ribosomal RNA, 460 nt
Filed under: uncultured bacterium
Lineage: Bacteria
Description: partial 16S ribosomal RNA
Rfam family: Bacterial small subunit ribosomal RNA
Source: RNAcentral
CCUACGGGUGGCAGCAGUGGGGAAUAUUGGGCAAUGGACGAGAGUCUGAACCAGCAAAGCAGCGUGAAGGAUGAAGGCCCUCGGGGUGUAAAGCUUCUUUUAUAGGGAAAUAAAAUGUUCCAGGUGUUGGAUUUUGUAUGUCCGAUAUGAAUAAGCAUAGGCUAACUCAGUUCCAGACGCCGCGGUAAUACGAAGGAUCCGCGCGUUAUCCGGAUUGAUUGGGUUUAAAGGGAGCGUAGUGGGGUUGUUAAGUCAGUUGUGAAAGUUUGCGGCUCAACCGUGAAAUUGCAGUUUAAACUGGUAGUCUUGAGUACAGUAGAGGCAGGCGGAAUUCGUGGUGUAGCGGUGAAAUGCUUAGAGAUCACGAAGAACUCCGAUUGCGAAGGCAGCUCACUGGACUGCAACUGACACUGAGGCUCGAAAGUGUGGGGAGCAAACAGGAGUAGAUACCCGUGUAGUC